GCAAACUUGGUCAUUUAGAGGAAGUAAAAGUCGUAACAAGGUCUCCGUUGGUGAACCAGCGGAGGGAUCAUUACCGAGUCUCGAUACCCGCGUAUAUCCUGUGAACCCACGGCGCAAGCCGCGAUUAUUGCCUCGGCCAGCGGCCCCAGGGCGGGGCCCCCGGCCUGGGUAGACCAGGCGCUGGCCGGCGGCGCAAACUUCUGGAUCGUGAUCGAGGGAGCUCUGAGUGGAGGGAUAUUCCAAACUGGACAUAAAACUUUCAACAACGGAUCUCUUGGUUCUGGCAUCGAUGAAGAACGCAGC
RNAcentral lists this unclassified non-coding RNA (303 nucleotides) under uncultured fungus. Its description in RNAcentral is "partial contains small subunit ribosomal RNA, internal transcribed spacer 1, and 5.8S ribosomal RNA". The stretch from base 1 to 73 matches the Rfam family "Eukaryotic small subunit ribosomal RNA", at positions 1759 to 1831 of the family's 1831-position model. Lineage: Eukaryota; Fungi. The record is from RNAcentral.